GGUAACUGCACACUCUCCGCUCUCUGGGUUUCUAAUCAUUUCGUCUUCAAAGAAGGGGGUCGUUCUUGUGCUCAACUCGGGAGCGGGAAAGGCCAACCCCCUCCAAAGGCAGACGGGGAGCCGAAGUGGAAACUCAGGGACGGAACCCGAGGACACCGAAGCCACAGCCAAGACGACUGGAGCCACCCGAGAGGCGCCGGCGGCAGGCGCGGGGACACUCAGCGCCGCCCCGGCGUCCCCGGCGCCGGCCCCUCCCGCCUUCUCGCGCCCCCGCGUGCCCGACCAAGGGGAGGCGAGUCUCGCGCGCUCCCUCCGCGCCCGCGGACUGUUGGGGGCGCGGCCGCCGGGGCGCGCAGGGGAGGGGGCGGGGCCGGCGUGAGGGAUGGGCGCGCGCGCGGGGCCGCGAGCAGGGGGGCGGGGCGGCAGAGCUCGGCGGCUGGGCCUGGAGGACAGCGGUGGCGGAGGCGGCGAGCGGCAGCGGGAGCGGAGCCGAGAAGCCUCGCAGCACGCGGGCGCCAGGAAGGGGGGAGCGCAGAGCGCGCCUGCGCCGGCGUCCUCCCGCCCGGCUCUGAUUGGCUAAGGGCUCGCGCAUGCUCCCGAGGCGCGCGGCGGGCCCCCGCCCUCCCCCCUCACCCCACUCCCUCAGAGGUUUUCGGAGCCGGUUCGAAAGAUGCCGGCGGCGGUGACUGGCUGUGGCGGACCCGCCCCCCCCACCACCCUCCCGGGGUCCCCGCCCUCGCCGCCGCUGCCGCCAUUACGGAGCUCCCAGCGGUGAGUGCGCGGGGGGCUGGUGCUCGCGGUCCGCCGCCUCCUGCGUGGCGCGCGCGCGGGCGGGCGGGCGCUGCCCGGGUCGCGGCGUCGGCCUUCCGGAGCCGGAGCUCGCGCUGAGCCCGCCGCCCUUUGCCUCGCCGCCUUCAUCCCGGCUCCACUCUCCUCUCCCCCACCCCCCGCCUUGUGCUCGGCGCUCCCCGCCUUUGUCUGCUGGUCUUUCCGCCCGGGUUUUCGGGCCCGGCGCGGAGUCAGCUGUUCGCGCCCCUGAAAAGCCGCCGCCGCCGCCGCUGCUGCUGCUGCUGCCGCCGCCGCCACCCGGGACUCAGCUUUCGUUUUUACCCCCGUUCCCAUGGCUUUCGUCGAGCUUGUGACUCACUGCUCUGUAGACGAGGUGGAUUUAGUUAAUAUAGUCAAGCCUGUGAGUAGGGGCAUUUGUAAAGAGCUGGAGGUAGGAGGGGUGAAGUGAGAGCCCCAGAUCAAAGGGUUUUUUGUUUUUUUUUUUUAAUUAUUGACCGCUUGUCUAUGAUCGAAACAGGGCUUCCCUUGUAGCUCAGUUGGUAAAGAAUCUGCCUUCAGUGCAGGAGACCCGGGUUCGAUCCCUGGGUUCGAUCGCCUGGAGAAGGAAAUGGCAACCCACUCCAGUAUCCUUGUCUGGAAAAUCUCAUGGGCAGUGGAGCCUGGUGGGCUGCAGUCCAUGGGGUCGCAAAGAGUCCGCCACGACAGAGCGACUAACACUAUGAUUGAAACACCUCUUUGAGGGACAGUCCCCCCGCACAGAGAACGGCCAAGGUGAACUUGACCCCUCUUUCCAUGUGUACCUUUUCUUUCUGCGGUUAUGCUUCCUGACCUUACAUUACAUUAAAAAGUGACAGUCUGGUUCGAAGUGCAGCUGGGAAUUCCCCUGGGGCUUCACGGACAAGCUGACUUGUCUUAGAGUGACGCUAGACGUGGCUAGUUUGGAAGAUUUGUUUAGUCUGGUAUAGGCGUGAAGCUGUUAACGAAGUUUUAAAUUCAUUGCUCUUUUCAGAAAAUUUAGUGCAGCGUGUUUCAGAGUAGAAGUAACAUUUUUAGAGGGUAAUUUUGGCCUUGUCGAAUUGGAAGAUUGAGGGCGAUAUGUUGGGAGGAAGCGUCCUGAACUCUUCGUGUAUAGAUGAAAACGCUCACUCUUCAGCCAGUUAGAUCGUCCUUAUCUUAGGAGGAGGUACCUGUAGUGUCCAGAGCAUCUGUGUCCGAGACAAAUGCUAAUUAAGUAAUACUGAUUUAUUUGAAAUACAAAAGUGGGGAAAAAAGUUUCCAGCAAAUUAUAGGCAUACGUUUUGUGACAUUACUCCGUAAGUCUGAAUAUAGUGAAAGACUUUAGAUUGGGAACAAUUUAGUGUAAUCAGUGCAAGGCUAAUGACAUUAUAAUACGUAAGGUAUUGGCAGACAUUUUAUGGUAAAAUAUGAAAUAAUAGUACUUUCCCUAAAAUGCAUGUUUUCAAGGAUAUCAGAAAACUGAAAUACAUUGUUGAACUCCUGCUUAUUUUUCUAGUGCUUGCACUUAAGGUAGAGAAAGUAAAUUAAAACUCUGAAAUUAUGGACUUUCUACUUUUACAACCUUUUCUUUAUUGCCUGUAUUUAAACAGCUUAGCACUUCCCUUGAAAAAAGCAGAUCUUUGUAUUGUUCAUCUGACAUUAUACUUAAAAAACAAAAACAGAUUCAUGACCACAGGAAGUCCACACACACCACAGGUAAACUGAGAUUGGUUUGUCACAUAAGAACCCAAAUGAAAAACUUACUCAAGUUUCGUUCAUUCUUUCACUUUAACAAAUAUUUGUAGGGCACCUGUUUGGAGCCUAGUAUGUUCUUGGGCAGGAAGUAUAGGGCAGUGAACCAGCCAGAUAAGAUCUCUGUCAGGGAACAAGUGCGGCAGUCUUAAAAGUCUGAUCAUUCAGAAGCGCAGCAUCAACAGUUAAUAGGUACUUGUUAAGGUAGUUUUAAGUUAACCAUCCAGAUAGUUUUGUCAGCUCUGUGAUGAACCAUGAACUGAGGAAAUAAGUUAUUAACCAACCUAUUAUAAAGAGAGCCUUAAGCUACAUGACCUUUAUUAAGGAAAUUCAGAGCUGAGGCAAACAUUUCUUAAUGUUUAUAUUGUUUUAAAUUUUUAUUUUUUAAGUGUUUUUUACACAUGUUGAACAUAGAAAUAAGUACUGCCAGGUGUCAUUGUUCAUUCAACAUUUGCCCUGCGGUUGGUUGGUUGGUUUGUUUUUUAAUUUAUUUUAUUUUUGGCCGCACAGGAUUUUUGUUGCCGGAUGCGGGCUUUCUCAUGGUGGUGACUUCUCUUGUUGCGGAGCGCCAGUUCUAGGCAUGUGGACUCAGUAGUCGUGGCUUAGUUGCCCUGCAGCAUGUGGGAUCUUCUAGGACCAGGGAUUGAACCAGUGUCCUUGCAUUGCAGGGCAGAUUCUUAACCACUGGACCACCAAGGAAGCCCUCCCCCCAGUAUUUAUGCUGCACCCACUGUAUGUUGGGCAUGCUUCUAGGUACUGGGGAUGCAGUGAUGAAUUAGUUCUAGCCCUUGUAGUACUUACAUUCUGCUGGGAGAGACACAUAAUAAACAAGCAAAUAGACAUAUAUUGAGUUACAAGUGGUGUUAAAUGCUGUGAAGAAACCUGAAGAAGAAAAAGGAUAGGAGGGCUUUCUGAGGGGGCGACACUGUGCUGAACCUGAUUGAAAUAUCCGGGAAAGAAUGUCAGAGUGAGAACACAGCAUGUGCAGAACACACACUGAGGACCAGAAGGUCUGUGUGUCUGGACUCAAGAGAGGAGAGUGAUGGGGAGGUUUAAGCAGGAGAGUGUCAGGAUCUGUUACUGUGGUGGGUGCAUCCAGGAAGCUUGGCAAAGCAACUUAUUUUUCAGUUAUUCCAACCUGGGCAUACUUACCAGACCUAAUUUAAACUGAUAUUCUUGUCCUCGGGUCAAUGAUGUCGGGUGUCGAUGGACCAUGUACUUGUUGCCCUGGUUUUGGUCAAUUUUAUCAUUUUGGCAUUGAGAAUAAUUUCUUUGCACCCCCACUCCCUAAAAUUUGUUUUAAUUUUGAGCAAUUAGUAAAUAUAGAGUUGACUGGAAAUGUUUUGAUAUUUUUUUAGUGUUUUAUUUACAGAGAGAACAUAUAUUCUUUUAAAAGAUGUUCUAUGAAAAGAGACUCUUGAAGGUUUUGUUAAUUUCUCAGUAUCAUUUUCAGCCUAGCUAGUAUUAUCAUGGGUUAAGAAAGAUGAAUUAGCAGUAUCACUUUUCCAAGAAUAACCUGAUGGUGAAAUUGUGCUUAUGAAUGGUAUUUACCUGUAAAAUUAUCAGAUUUGUGUUUUUUUUUUUAAUCAAGGAAAGUAUAUUACUGUGUAAGUGCUAGUUGGAUGAGUAAGCAAGUUUAUGUAUUGAAAUUUUUCCGAGGUAGACUUUUAGCUUUCACAAACCUAAAUAAUGCCCUUAAGUCCAUUUUGAUUAGAAAACAAAAAUUUUUUUGCAAGUAUAUUUAUUUUUAUUAAAUUUAUUUAUUUUUAAUUAAAGGAUAAUUGCAAUAUUGUGUUGGUUUCUGCCGUACAUCAUCAUGGAUCGGCCAUAGGUAUGCAUAUGUCCCCUCCCUCUUGAGCUUCCCUGCCACCUCCCACCCCAUCCCACCCCUCUAGGUUGUCACAAAGCCCCCCCAAAACAACUGUUUUUAUUUCUGUGUUUUAUAGUUUUUGACAUAAAUUUCUAUAUGAGCAUUUUAAGUAGUCUUUGUAACAGUUAAUAACUAUUACCUGACAAAUUGAAAGCUCUUAAAUUCCUAGACAAGUUUAGAGCCUAAAGCAGAAGUUGAAUGAGUAGUCUCCUCUUGCCCAGUUCUUCAUUAAUGUUCAUUAGCACAAAGAUCUUAACACCUGACUGAUCAUUUUCUUUUCUUUUUGAGAAAUUUUUAUUAUAAAGUGUCCUUGAUUCUCAGAUGAGAUAAGGGGAGCAGAGGGUAUUAAGUGAUUAGGUAAAUUUGAGUGAUCUUACAUAGAUUUUAUUUUUCAAUAUUUAAUUUUGUUCUUAAGGUCUUAGAAGCAUGCUUAAUCUCUUAGGUGAUGGUCUGAAUUUGCUUUUCUGAGUCUGGAGGCUUUUAGACUGUUACGUUCUUCAGCAGUAUUUUUGUCCUUGUAUAACUUCUCUGAUGGAGAUGGAGUUAAGUUUGCAGUUAAGUUUCCUGACCCCUUUGAGAACAUUAACAACAUUUCUCUCUUUAGUAAAAUGAUCCUUGAGUAAACAUAGAUGAACCUUUUCUGGGUCUUGUAGUCUGUUCUAAGCUCCUGAUAGUAACAGGAGACAGGAUGGGGUUAGGGUCUUAUGAGCUUUCUUGUCCUGGCUGCCUUUGUUCAUGUGGAAGGUGCAGCGGCUGCUGUGGCUUGUGCGUUUGUCUUAGUCGCUGCUUUACACAGUGUGUAUUUUGAUAGUAAUUUUUAUCUUUCUGAAUGAUAAUUGACCAAGUCAUCUGUCAUUUAACUAUAAGUUUUAUAGUGAAUUUUCCCCCCUUUGGAUGUAUAUUAAAUUUAGACGUUUUAGUUUAGUUUUGUUUCUAUAAUCUUCACACC
Molecule: long non-coding RNA, 5357 nt
Filed under: Bos grunniens (domestic yak)
Lineage: Eukaryota; Metazoa; Chordata; Mammalia; Artiodactyla; Bovidae
Description: lncRNA (ENSBGRG00000000349.1)
Rfam family: tRNA (bases 1318-1374)
Source: RNAcentral